UGAUGAUGGCAGAGAGGUCACACCCGUUCCCAUACCGAACACGGAAGUUAAGCUCUCUAGCGCCGAUGGUAGUUGGGACCUUGUCCCUGUGAGAGUAGGACGUCGCCAAGC
Molecule: ribosomal RNA, 111 nt
Filed under: Bacillus anthracis (anthrax bacterium)
Lineage: Bacteria; Bacillati; Bacillota; Bacilli; Caryophanales; Bacillaceae
Also listed under: 43 other names
Source: RNAcentral